Molecule: ribosomal RNA, 648 nt
Filed under: uncultured Dermocybe
Lineage: Eukaryota; Fungi; Basidiomycota; Agaricomycetes; Agaricales; Cortinariaceae
Description: eukaryotic LSU rRNA
Rfam family: 5.8S ribosomal RNA (bases 231-384)
Source: RNAcentral
CUUGGUCAUUUAGAGGAAGUAAAAGUCGUAACAAGGUUUCCGUAGGUGAACCUGCGGAAGGAUCAUUAUUGAAAUAAACCUGAUGGGUUGUUGCUGGUUCUCUAGGGAGCAUGUGCACGCCUUGUCAUCUUUAUAUCUCCACCUGUGCACCUUUUGUAGACCUUUCAGGUCUAUGUUGCUUCAUUUACCCCAUGUAUGUUAAUAGAAUGUUGUGCCUAUAUAAUAUAUACAACUUUCAGCAACGGAUCUCUUGGCUCUCGCAUCGAUGAAGAACGCAGCGAAAUGCGAUAAGUAAUGUGAAUUGCAGAAUUCAGUGAAUCAUCGAAUAUUUGAACGCACCUUGCGCUCCUUGGUAUUCCGAGGAGCAUGCCUGUUUGAGUGUCAUUAAUAUAUCAACCUCCUCAGGUUUUUACUUGUCGAGUGUUUGGAUGUGGGGGCUUCUUUUGCUGGUCUCUUUGAGAUCGGCUCCCCUAAAAUGCAUUAGCGGAACAAUUUGUUGACUCGUUCAUUGGUGUGAUAAUAUCUACGCUUUUGACGUGAAACAGGUUCAGCUUCUAACAGUCCAUUGACUUGGACAAUUUUUCAUUAAUGUGACCUCAAAUCAGGUAGGACUACCCGCUGAACUUAAGCAUAUCAAUAAGCGGAGGA